This 251-nucleotide long non-coding RNA is filed under the name Mytilus galloprovincialis (Mediterranean mussel). Lineage: Eukaryota; Metazoa; Mollusca; Bivalvia; Mytilida; Mytilidae. The record is from RNAcentral.
AACAAGAAAAACUACAAGUAAGAAUAUAUCAAAAAUGAUAGGUGUCCACUUAUAAAUUAAAUAGAUAAUUAUGUCUAUAGUUAUUGUUAAAUACAAGUGGACACACACAAUCAUUUCAGCUAUUCCUUCUGCCAACAGGAUUUUAAGAUGUGACAUUUAUGGUCUAGAUUUUUGACUUUGUACAAGCACCAAAUGUUGUUUAAAGUAACAGUUGAUGUAUUUAUUUAGAUGUCUUCCAUUUAACUUAUCUA